Molecule: small nucleolar RNA, 131 nt
Organism: Meriones unguiculatus (Mongolian gerbil)
Lineage: Eukaryota; Metazoa; Chordata; Mammalia; Rodentia; Muridae
Source: Ensembl
CCUGCCUCCAGAAUCCUUGAAGGUGUGACUUCUGUGUCACCUGUUUGUCAGUAGGUGGCAGAGAGGAGAGAGUCUAUGUCUAUGCGCAGUGUUCUGACCUGUGAACUCUGAAUGGUUAAUAGCCUAACAUU